AUACGUAGGUGGCAAGCGUUGUCCGGAAUUAUUGGGCGUAAAGCGCAUGUAGGCGGUGCCUUAAGUCUGUCGUGAAACUGCGGGGCCUAACCCCGUAUGGCGAUGGAAACUGUGGCACUUGAGUGCAGGAGAGGAAAGGGGAACUCCCCGUGUAGCGGUGAAAUGCGUAGAUAUUGGGAAGAACACCGGUGGCGAAGGCGCCUUUCAGGACGGUGUCGGACGUGGAGAUGCGAAAGCCAGGGUAGCAAACGGGAUUAGAUACCCCGGUGGUCCAGGCCGUAAACGAUGGGUCCUAGGUGUGGGAGGUAUCGACCCCUUCCGUGCCGGAGUUAACGCAAUAAGUACCCCGCCUGGGGAGUACGGCCGCAAGGCGUAAACUCAAAUGAAUUGACGGGG
This 396-nucleotide ribosomal RNA is filed under the name uncultured bacterium. Its description in RNAcentral is "partial 16S ribosomal RNA". It matches the Rfam family "Bacterial small subunit ribosomal RNA", at positions 523 to 918 of the family's 1533-position model. The record is from RNAcentral.